GCCACGGCAUCUUCCAUCGCCAACAUCUUCCAUCACCUCGAGCAGCAGCAUCUUCCAUCACCAUCGAUAAUGUCAUCUUCCAUGGAUCAGCAUCUUCAAAUAGUCAUACUGGCAACCACACAAUAGAGUAGUUGCACGGAGAAUUCAGAAUAUGGGAUGGAGGGCAGAUGGUGGUCUUUGGCUUCUAAUGCGUGGUGGUGGACUUUACCUUAGCAAAGGCACAGGGGGCUAUGGAUUAUACUGCAGUAGAACAACCUGUGGAAGCAUUCACGAAUAUCCUUUUCUUAUCUGGAACUACAGGUAACGUGAAACCGUUUAACUGAAACAUCUCAAAGAUCUUGAUGCUUCAUCUUGCAUAUUUCAUGCAAA
Long non-coding RNA from Magnolia sinica, 369 nucleotides. RefSeq lists it as uncharacterized. The transcript has 3 exons. The record is from RefSeq and is a predicted model, not a curated record. NCBI's taxonomy places the organism in Eukaryota, Viridiplantae, Streptophyta, Magnoliopsida, Magnoliales, Magnoliaceae.